CUAACAACACGGCAGGGGAGAAACAAGGAUCAUGAAGGCUGUGCUCCCAGAAUGAGGCUACCCUACUGCACUCUGGGCGUGCUGAUGCCUGUGAUGUUUCCAAAUGCGGGAUACUCGACUGCAGGACUUGUGAUAGUGGGGGACUGCAUUGGUGCUCUCCCCUG
Carcharodon carcharias (great white shark) is the source of this 164-nucleotide small nuclear RNA. RefSeq annotates it as U1 spliceosomal RNA. NCBI's taxonomy places the organism in Eukaryota, Metazoa, Chordata, Chondrichthyes, Lamniformes, Lamnidae. The record is from RefSeq and is a predicted model, not a curated record. The transcript has a single exon.